Molecule: ribosomal RNA, 253 nt
Filed under: uncultured bacterium
Lineage: Bacteria
Description: partial 16S ribosomal RNA
Rfam family: Bacterial small subunit ribosomal RNA
Source: RNAcentral
UACAGAGGGUGCAAGCGUUGUUCGGAAUUACUGGGCGUAAAGCGCGUGUAGGCGGUCUGCCAAGUCUGAUGUGAAAGCCCCGGGCUCAACCCGGGAAGUGCAUCUGAUACUGCUUGGCUUGAAUGUUGGAGAGGGUAGUGGAAUUCCUGGUGUAGUGGUGAAAUACGUAGAUAUCAGGAGGAACACCUGUGGCGAAGGCGGCUACCUGGCCAAACAUUGACGCUGAGAGACGAAAGCGUGGGGAUCAAACAGG